UGCAGCUCAGAGGUAGAGCACCUGCCUAGUAAGCACGAGGCCCUGGGUUUGAUCCCCAGCA
Molecule: transfer RNA, 61 nt
Filed under: Ictidomys tridecemlineatus (thirteen-lined ground squirrel)
Lineage: Eukaryota; Metazoa; Chordata; Mammalia; Rodentia; Sciuridae
Also listed under: 1 other name
Description: Spermophilus tridecemlineatus (thirteen-lined ground squirrel) tRNA
Rfam family: tRNA
About the family: Transfer RNA (tRNA) molecules are approximately 80 nucleotides in length. Their secondary structure includes four short double-helical elements and three loops (D, anti-codon, and T loops).
Source: Rfam by way of RNAcentral